This is a long non-coding RNA of Lucilia cuprina (Australian sheep blowfly), 1215 nucleotides long. RefSeq lists it as uncharacterized. NCBI's taxonomy places the organism in Eukaryota, Metazoa, Arthropoda, Insecta, Diptera, Calliphoridae. The transcript has 4 exons. The record is from RefSeq and is a predicted model, not a curated record.
AUCAUUUUAAAAUAGAGUUUAAACAAAAAUAAUUAUAACAAACACAAAUCAUGAAACAUGAAUUAAAAAAAAAUAAUAAAAAACAAAAACAACAACAAAAUAACUUUGUGCAUACAUACUUAUAUAUUGCACACGCAAGUACAUGAUGAAUUUAUAUAGAGAGAACAUAAUAAAUAUAGCAAAUGGCAGUUAACAAUUGAAUUAUUUAUUUACCAACAUCAAAAUGGAAAAUCCCAGUCUGUGUUAUCGUAGAAGCCUAAAUGAAAUUUUGUUUUUAAUUGGGAGAAGCUUGCAAAGGUCAAUUGGCAAUGAACGUUUACAAGAUAAUAACCACAAAUAUGUUUACUAAAUCUGAAAACUUUGAAAGGAUUCUGGUUUUCCAAAUAGAGCGGAAACAGGGAAAGAAAAAUCUGUAAUAAAAAUAUUAUAUGGAUGUUGAAAUAGUCCUGUUGAAAUUUAAUUACAAAAGAAUUCUUUACGUCAUUGUGAAUAAAUAUCCUUGAGUUAGACUUUACAAACUCUGCUUCUCUUCUAACCAAUAUUCUAUGAUUGACAUCAUCCGAGUUUGAGUGAAUAUAUGGUUGAGAAAGAAAAACUGCAUUUGCUGAACUUCACGUUGGCUAAUCAUUCAAGUGUCAUAGUAUUUUAUGUUUGAGAGAGCUGUGAGUAAUAGUUAUUUUGGAUUUUAGUUAUUCACACAUCUGACAUCAUCACUGCACUAUGGGAAAAUAAUCAGACAAACAAUGAAAAACUAUUUCUUUGGAUUUGAUGCACUUACUACAUAAUGGAGAUUAUUUUGCCGUUUAUGAGUUAUUAUACCCUAUACCACUAUAGUGGGGAUGUUUGUCCGCCUGACUACAUAAUGAAGAUUAUUUUGCGUAUGGGUACUCAUUUAUGUUUAUGAGUUAUUAUUCCCUACACCACUAUGUAUUAUGCGUUUGUGCUGAUGUUUGUCCGCCUGACUGUGUGUCCAUGUAAACCUUGUGCACACGCUACAGGGAGCAACUUUCAAGAUGAUUUGAUCAAAUUUGGCACAUAUGUUAAACAUAAUCAAAAUAUGAAAUGAUUUUAUGGUCAGAAAAAGACUUCAACAAAGUUUUAUAAAAAGAAGAAAGAUAUAUCGUUCAAAUGGAAUGGUGAUAAACUGUAUUAAACGAUGUUAGAUGUAAAUCUUACCAAAUUCAUUAAGGAUCUUAAAUUUUGUAAACAUUUGAA